CACCGAUGCUAGAUCAGGAGCCCUUCCUUUUACCUCCCCUUGUACCCCUGUAUAUUUUCAUCGUUGGUGCAGUCUCCCCACCAAGGCUGCCAUUCCUAUAAUCCCAGCAUUUUCAGAGGUCAAGGAAGGAGGAGCCCUUGAAACCAGGAGUUCAAAACCAGCCUGGGCAACAGCAAGAUCUCAUCCCUACAAAAACUUUUUUUAAAUUAAAAAGGCACAGUGAUGCACACUUAGUGUCACAGCUACUUGAAAGGCUGAGGCAGGAGAAUCGCUUUUGAGUCCAGGAGUUCAAGGCUGCAGUGAGCUAAGAUCUAGCCACCACACUCUAGCCUGGGCAACAGAGUGAGAAUCUGUCUCUCAAAAAAAAAAAAAAAAUUAACAAAUGUGGUAUUGUUGGCUCACCACACCUGUAAUCCCAGCACUGUGGGAGCCAAGGUGGGCGGAUCACUUGAGGUCAGGAGUUCAAGACCAGCCUGGCCAACAUGGUGAAACCUUGUCUCUCCUAAUCUGAUAUAGUCUAUUGAAUUCUAUUUUAUUUCACAUUCUUAAAAUGUUCAUCUUCACAUACUAAAUUGGUUUUAUGGCU
Molecule: long non-coding RNA, 586 nt
Filed under: Pan troglodytes (chimpanzee)
Lineage: Eukaryota; Metazoa; Chordata; Mammalia; Primates; Hominidae
Description: long non-coding RNA NONPTRT000648
Source: RNAcentral